Molecule: ribosomal RNA, 640 nt
Filed under: uncultured bacterium
Lineage: Bacteria
Description: bacterial SSU rRNA
Rfam family: Bacterial small subunit ribosomal RNA
Source: RNAcentral
CAUUCCGCCUGGGAGUACCGUCGCAAGGCUGAAACUCAAAGGAAUUGACGGGGGCCCGCACAAGCGGUGGAGUAUGUGGUUUAAUUCGACGCAACGCGAAGAACCUUACCCAGGCUUGAACUGCAGGUGACAUCCUACGAAAGUAGGCUUCCGCAAGGACACCUGUAGAGGUGCUGCAUGGCUGUCGUCAGCUCGUGUCGUGAGAUGUUGGGUUAAGUCCCGCAACGAGCGCAACCCUUGUCUUCUGUUGCCAUCAGGUUAUGCUGGGCACUCUGAAGAGACUGCCGGUGACAAACCGGAGGAAGGUGGGGAUGACGUCAAGUCAGCAUGGCCUUUAUGUCUGGGGCCACACACGUGCUACAAUGGCAGAUACAAACCGUCGCGAGACCGCAAGGUGGAGCUAAUCGGAUAAAAUCUGUCUCAGUUCGGAUUGUCGGCUGCAACUCGCCGGCAUGAAGUUGGAAUCGCUAGUAAUCGCGGAUCAGCACGCCGCGGUGAAUACGUUCCCGGGCCUUGUACACACCGCCCGUCACAUCACGAAAGCUGGCUGUACUAGAAGUGGCUGCGCCAACCCGCAAGGGAGGCAGGUCCCUAAGGUAUGGUUAGUGAUUGGGGUGAAGUCGUAACAAGGUAGCCGUAG